GAGUUUGAUCAUGGCUCAGAUUGAACGCUGGCGGCAGGCCUAACACAUGCAAGUCGAGCGGAUGAUGGGAGCUUGCUCCCGGAUUCAGCGGCGGACGGGUGAGUAAUGCCUAGGAAUCUGCCUGGUAGUGGGGGGACAACGUUUCGAAAGGAACGCUAAUACCGCAUACGUCCUACGGGAGAAAGCAGGGGACCUUCGGGCCUUGCGCUAUCAGAUGAGCCUAGGUCGGAUUAGCUAGUUGGUGGGGUAAAGGCCUACCAAGGCGACGAUCCGUAACUGGUCUGAGAGGAUGAUCAGUCACACUGGAACUGAGACACGGUCCAGACUCCUACGGGAGGCAGCAGUGGGGAAUAUUGGACAAUGGGCGAAAGCCUGAUCCAGCCAUGCCGCGUGUGUGAAGAAGGUCUUCGGAUUGUAAAGCACUUUAAGUUGGGAGGAAGGGCAGUAAGUUAAUACCUUGCUGUUUUGACGUUACCAACAGAAUAAGCACCGGCUAACUUCGUGCCAGCAGCCGC
RNAcentral lists this ribosomal RNA (515 nucleotides) under uncultured Gammaproteobacteria bacterium. RNAcentral describes it as "bacterial SSU rRNA". It matches the Rfam family "Bacterial small subunit ribosomal RNA", at positions 9 to 518 of the family's 1533-position model. The record is from RNAcentral. Lineage: Bacteria; Pseudomonadati; Pseudomonadota; Gammaproteobacteria.